Bos taurus (domestic cattle) is the source of this 31-nucleotide non-coding RNA. NCBI's taxonomy places the organism in Eukaryota, Metazoa, Chordata, Mammalia, Artiodactyla, Bovidae. The record is from Rfam.
UUUUUUUCCUUGACAGUGUUCAAGAAAAUAA